GACGAACGCUGGCGGCGUGCUUAACACAUGCAAGUCGAACGAAGAGCGAUGGAAGCUUGCUUCUAUCAAUCUUAGUGGCGAACGGGUGAGUAACGCGUAAUCAACCUGCCCUUCAGAGGGGGACAACAGUUGGAAACGACUGCUAAUACCGCAUACGAUCUGACCUCGGCAUCGAGGAUGGAUGAAAGGUGGCCUCUAUUUAUAAGCUAUCACUGAAGGAGGGGAUUGCGUCUGAUUAGCUAGUUGGAGGGGUAACGGCCCACCAAGGCGAUGAUCAGUAGCCGGUCUGAGAGGAUGAACGGCCACAUUGGGACUGAGACACGGCCCAGACUCCUACGGGAGGCAGCAGUGGGGAAUCUUCCGCAAUGGACGAAAGUCUGACGGAGCAACGCCGCGUGAGUGAUGACGGCCUUCGGGUUGUAAAGCUCCGUUAAUCGGGACGAAAGGCCUUCUUGCGAAUAGUUAGAAGGAU
RNAcentral lists this ribosomal RNA (472 nucleotides) under Veillonella dispar. RNAcentral describes it as "bacterial SSU rRNA". It matches the Rfam family "Bacterial small subunit ribosomal RNA", at positions 28 to 477 of the family's 1533-position model. Lineage: Bacteria; Bacillati; Bacillota; Negativicutes; Veillonellales; Veillonellaceae. The record is from RNAcentral.